AAUUAAGGUAGCACAGGACUUGUAUGACAUGUUUUACACAAGGAUGACUUUACAUCGACGGGCAUAUCAGCACAAAACUCACAAAAUCAUCGGAAUGAUGAUUUGCGAUGCAUUAGAAUUAGCAGAUGCUCAUUUUACAAUACAUGGCAAAAGAAUUUCAGAAACUGUUGACGAUAUGGAAGCCUACACAUAUUUGAAUGAUGACGUCAUUCAGUUGAUUAUUAAUGAUAAUAAUCCAAAGCUUAAAGCAGCACAAAAUAUUUUACAGGACAUAAUGCACAGACGGUUGUUUAAAUGUGUCACACAAACACAUU
Long non-coding RNA from Ruditapes philippinarum (Manila clam), 314 nucleotides. RefSeq lists it as uncharacterized. The record is from RefSeq and is a predicted model, not a curated record. Lineage: Eukaryota; Metazoa; Mollusca; Bivalvia; Venerida; Veneridae. The transcript has 3 exons.